UAGUCCACGCCGUAAACGAUGAGAACUAGAUGUUGGGUGACUAUAUGUUGUGAGUAGCGAAGCUAACGCGCUAAGUAGACCGCCUGGGGAGUACGGUCGCAAGAUUAAAACUCAAAUGAAUUGACGGGGGCCCGCACAAGCGGUGGAGCAUGUGGUUUAAUUCGAUGCAACGCGAAGAACCUUACCUACACUUGACAUUCAGAGAACUUUCCAGAGAUGGAUUGGUGCCUUCGGGAGCUUUGGGACAGGUGCUGCAUGGCUGUCGUCAGCUCGUGUCGUGAGAUGUUGGGUUAAGUCCCGCAACGAGCGCAACCCUUGUCCUUAUUUGCCAGCAUUAAGUUGGGGACUUUAAGGAGACUGCCGGUGACAAACCGGGAGGAAGGUGGGGACGACGUCAAGUCAUCAUGGCCCUUACGUGUAGGGGCUACACACGUGCUACAAU
Molecule: ribosomal RNA, 442 nt
Filed under: uncultured bacterium
Lineage: Bacteria
Description: bacterial SSU rRNA
Rfam family: Bacterial small subunit ribosomal RNA
Source: RNAcentral